This 620-nucleotide ribosomal RNA is filed under the name uncultured Verrucomicrobiota bacterium. Its description in RNAcentral is "bacterial SSU rRNA". It matches the Rfam family "Bacterial small subunit ribosomal RNA", at positions 77 to 680 of the family's 1533-position model. The record is from RNAcentral. Lineage: Bacteria; Pseudomonadati; Verrucomicrobiota.
UAGCAAUACGAUGGAAAGUCUAGUGGCGAACGGGUGCUUAACACGUGGGCAAUCUGUCUUAAAGUGGGGGAUAGCUCGGCGAAAGCCGAAUUAAUACCGCAUGUGAUUAGAAUGGACAUCCAUUCAAAAUUAAAGUCGGGGCAACCUGACGCUUUUUGAGGAGCCCGCGGCCUAUCAGCUUGUUGGUGAGGUAACGGCUCACCAAGGCAUUGACGGGUAGCUGGUCUGAGAGGACGACCAGCCACACUGGGACUGAGACACGGCCCAGACACCUACGGGUGGCAGCAGUCGAGAAUUUUUCUCAAUGGGGGAAACCCUGAAGGAGCGACGCCGCGUGGAGGAUGAAGGUCUUCGGAUUGUAAACUCCUGUCAUUGGGGAACAAGUCGCUUACGUUAACUGCGUGAGCGUUGAUAGUACCCGAAGAGGAAGAGACGGCUAACUCUGUGCCAGCAGCCGCGGUAAUACAGAGGUCUCAAGCGUUGUUCGGAUUCAUUGGGCGUAAAGGGUGCGUAGGCGGCGCGGCAAGUCGGGUGUGAAAUCUCGGAGCUUAACUCCGAAACUGCAUUCGAUACUGCCGUGCUUGAGGACUGGAGAGGAGACUGGAAUUCACGGUGUAGCA